GUUCUUUUCCAGUUGUUAGAAUUUGUUCAGUGAAAGUUUAAGGUUUAAAAAAGAGAAUGUCACAGCACAGUGAAAAAGCUGCAAGUGGGAUAUGUUUAGAGGAAGACAGAGCAUCAGAGCUAAGAGAGUCAGUUACCACACAACCAGAAAACCCUCGCAGAAGUGAAAGAGUUCGCACAUUAACAGAAAAGGGAAGGGAAUUAAACAGAGAAAAGCUAAAUGAGCUUCUGUUACGCUUUGAAACAAUUUAUGUGCGCUGGAAAGCCUUAGCAAAGCUUGCUAAAAAAUCUGUAGCAAAGAAGGAUCUCAAUGUUAUUCUGCAAGAACACAUUAACUGUAUUCAGAAAGAAGAAUCUGAACUUAAUGGAGUUUAUGAAGAAUACAGGAAAAUUGACAGCCCUCCUCACAAUAUGCGGCGACAGCUGGACAGCUGCACGUCUGUAACCAGAGCUGUGAUUCAGAAUGUACAGUCUCAAAUGCAGGGAGCAAAUGAACAAUUACACUGGCCUGAUGCUAAUUCUGUAUUUGCAUCCUCAAGCUCCAGUGUUUCACUUUCAGCAUCUGGACAUUCUAAGGAAAGAUCUGUUCACUCCGUAGCUUCCUCCCUCAUCAGACAAGAAGCUGCAGCAGAAUAUGAAGCCACAAAAGCUGUAUUGCACAUUAUGGCUGAGCAAGAGUGUCAAAGAGAGAAGCUUCAAAAAUUACAAGCUGAGGAUCAGUUAAUAAAGGCAGAAGAAAAAGCGGCUGCAUUUUCUCGCAAACUACAAAGAGAGAAAGAGGAGACUGAACGCAGAAUAUCAGAGGAGAAAGAAGAAGUUGCUCUCUUAAAGGAACAGCAAGUGAAGAAUUUUGAAAGAAAACAAACGGUUGAGUCCUUGAAAAGAGAGGUCGAGCGGUUGGAAGAGCUUAAAAAAUUGCAUGCCGCUAAAGCAAAACUCCAAGUUUAUGAUGAAAACGACUCCUGUAAAAGUCAGGCACUUUCACUUUGCUCUGAGGCAUCUAAGAGGAAGCAGGUCAUGCAGCAAGAUGUUUCAUUAAGCAAUGCAGCUUCCAACGUAGAGAUCAAACCUCAACAUGAAACUGUCGAACUUGUGAGAGUCCUGGCUGAAGCUGUAUCUGCUAGUAGGUUACCCAUACCAGAGCCUACCACCUUUUAUGGGGACCCGCUCAAGUUUAAUCAUUGGAAAUCCUCUUUUCAGACAUUAAUUGAAAGGAAAAACAUCCCAGUCACUGAGAAAAUGUUCUUUCUGCAAAAGUAUGUAGGAGGGGCAGCUAAAGAAGCCAUCGAAGGUAAUUUCUUGACUGGAACAGAGGCAUCCUAUGAGGCAGCUUGGAACCUUCUCAAUGAAAGAUUUGGUGACUUUGUGGCCAAAGAAGAGGAAUAAAGUCAUCAGUGCAACAAACUGCGGUCCUUUCUUCACCGGAGAGAGCGAUAGAGUUGUUGGGGCUUUUCUUUUUGUUUUAGGGAUCCUCGCUUGGA
RNAcentral lists this long non-coding RNA (1480 nucleotides) under Oryzias javanicus (javanese ricefish). RNAcentral's name for it is "lncRNA (ENSOJAG00000002575.1)". The record is from RNAcentral. Lineage: Eukaryota; Metazoa; Chordata; Actinopteri; Beloniformes; Adrianichthyidae.